AAGUAUCACUUCAUUAGGGAGAAGUUAGCUUCUAGUGAUUUUAUUUUGCUUAAAAUUGCAACUGAUGAAACCCUGCAGAUGUUGGAACAAAAGUACUUGCGGUUGGUAAGUUUAACAAAUGUUUAUCAAUACUAAGUAUUGAUAAUGGUUAAUUGUUGUGCAGGUACUAAGUUGGAGUGAGCGAUGAUGAUAAAAAUAAGACCACAAUAAUAGAUAUCACUUGUAACCGGGGAAUUUGGCGAUGGAUGUUAUGUGAUUCAUGGUGAAGAUUUGAAAGAUGGAUCACAACAUAGUAUUGGUGCAAGUUGAUUGGUCCAGAGAAUAUGACUUCGAUUGUGCUAGUUAUGGGAUGAUAUGGACCAUAGAUUAAAUCCAAUUGUUGGAUUUAAUCUAGUGGUCAAUUAAGUAUACUAGUGUUAUCACUCUCUAGACCAUAGUACAAUAUUUGAAUUUUGAAUUCAAUUGGAUUGGCUCUAUAAUUUCAAGACAUCUUCAUUCUCUCUACUUGGACUUGGCAUAACAUUUGAGAGAGAGCAUAGAGAGGUAACCAAGUGGGAGCUUUCCAAAACUCCGACGAAAUUCUUGGUGGCUUCCGACGGAUCCUUUCUCGGUAUAUCUAUUGUCAUUCCUGUGGAAGAUGGUGCAUGAUCCGGUGUGACACAAAUCUGAUCUCAAUAUCAAGAACACUUCAUUGGUGGUGUUGAAGAAGCUUUGAGUCGGUUUUGGUUCGGUUUUACACUUUGAGAGUUUAUCAUUCCGCAUUGUAGUUGUAAUAAUCUUUUGUAUACAACACUUUAAACUCUACAUCCUAUUUCUCAUUUUUUUUGUACUCUUAUCAGAGAAUUCUCCCUUCCGAAUCUUGCAUCAAUUAUCACUAUAGUUUGCUCUGUUGUCAUUAUUUUAUUGUCCAUUGAUCAACUCUUGCUUUGCAUGCAAAAAAAUUCCGCACAUGCGGAAGGAUGACCCAUUCGAAUAGGC
RNAcentral lists this long non-coding RNA (978 nucleotides) under Olea europaea subsp. europaea. The record is from RNAcentral. Lineage: Eukaryota; Viridiplantae; Streptophyta; Magnoliopsida; Lamiales; Oleaceae.